GCCAGAGUGGCAUAGUGGUUUGAGGAAUGGUCUAUGACUCUGGAGACCAGGGUUCGAUUCCCAGCUUGGCCA
This is a non-coding RNA of Phrynosoma platyrhinos (Desert horned lizard), 72 nucleotides long. NCBI's taxonomy places the organism in Eukaryota, Metazoa, Chordata, Lepidosauria, Squamata, Phrynosomatidae. The record is from the annotation of a GenBank genome assembly.